GAUGAACGCUGGCGGCGUGCCUAAUACAUGCAAGUCGAGCGAACAGACGAGGAGCUUGCUCCUCUGACGUUAGCGGCGGACGGGUGAGUAACACGUGGAUAACCUACCUAUAAGACUGGGAUAACUUCGGGAAGCCGGAGCUAAUACCGGAUAAUAUAUUGAACCGCAUGGUUCAAUAGUGAAAGACGGUUUUGCUGUCACUUAUAGAUGGAUCCGCGCCGCAUUAGCUAGUUGGUAAGGUAACGGCUUACCAAGGCAACGAUGCGUAGCCGACCUGAGAGGGUGAUCGGCCACACUGGAACUGAGACACGGUCCAGACUCUUACGGGAGGCAGCAGUAGGGAAUCUUCCGCAAUGGGCGAAAGCCUGACGGAGCAACGCCGCGUGAGUGAUGAAGGUCUUCGGAUCGUAAAACUCUGUUAUUAGGGAAGAACAAAUGUGUAAGUAACUAUGCACGUCUUGACGGUACCUAAUCAGAAAGCCACGGCUAACUACGU
RNAcentral lists this ribosomal RNA (496 nucleotides) under uncultured bacterium. Its description in RNAcentral is "partial 16S ribosomal RNA". It matches the Rfam family "Bacterial small subunit ribosomal RNA", at positions 28 to 506 of the family's 1533-position model. The record is from RNAcentral.